Schistocerca americana (American grasshopper) is the source of this 1154-nucleotide RNA transcript. RefSeq lists it as uncharacterized. NCBI's taxonomy places the organism in Eukaryota, Metazoa, Arthropoda, Insecta, Orthoptera, Acrididae. The record is from RefSeq and is a predicted model, not a curated record. The transcript is spliced from 5 exons.
UAUGAAUCGAAUCUGAAUUUCACAAUUGGCGGCCUCCCCUUAUCAAGCCUAAAUCCCAUACCAAUGGAGUACAAAUUAUUCUGUUAAUUCGAGAAGGCGAAUUUUAGAUGGAGGCGACGAUCUUCACGACAGCGCUGCUCAGCAAUAGAGGCUCGUCCAAACUGUGCCCCUGGAGCGCUAGCGCCCGCUAUCGCCCACGGCCAGCGCCCCGGGCGAAUUCGUAUGUUGUCGCAGUGGCCGAGCAAUGUCGUUUAGCUGGCCGUGCGUAACGCCCGCCGUGCCUCGCCAUGCCGCUGUACGUUGUACGGACGACAGACUGCUGCAGCAGCAGCGGUCAAAUGCGACACAAAGCCAUUAGCCAAUAGACACAAGGCUACAGUGGAUCGAGAUGAAUGGUCAACAGCAGCAGACAAAACGAAAGGGGAGCGGCGCGUCCGCACUAUUUAAACUUGAGAGGGAAAUUAAUUUCCUGCGCACUGCUGUCAAAAAUCGUGCCAAAUGUUUAGUAUGUCAUCGAAACAUCAUGUAUUUAAAAAAGUACUAGACUGAACGCACUUUAAUACCUGUCACAAAGAUCAGUUCGAAAAUUUGUCACAAGAGGAACGCCAGUCAAAGCUUGAAGAACUGAAAGAAAAUUUCAAGCAGUAUUACAUGGAGGGCACGUGGUGAGGAUCCCAAGCUGUUUAAAUAAGUUUCUGCAAGAGCAUCUGGGCUGCACUCUAACCAUAAUUCUGAUGACUCUUUUCUGUGCUAUAAGGACUUCAUUUGCUCAUGACUGGUUACCCCAAAAUAUGGUGCCAAAUGUCAUAAGUGUAUGGAAAAUCCUAGAAGCCUGCUGCACCUGCCAUAACCUACAGCUGGAUGAGGGUCUUCCUCUCUUACUUAAGGCAACAAGUCAAAUGUAUUAGAUGCUGUAAGCUCAAAUGAAGUUGAGGUUGUUUCUCUUUAACCCAUUACUUGUUACCCUUAUCCAGUGCCUUUGGUCUUUUUUUUCCCUUCAAUGUAUUUAGUUCAAAUUCCACAUGAUUUAAUUCUGAUGUAUGAUAUGAUGUAAAAAGUUUGUUAUUUUCAUGUUAAACAAGAACUCAGCACUCAUUUAACUGCAGUAUGUGUUAAUUAACUUGUUUGCAAUAAAAUGAAACUUUUAAUUACUA